AACGAACGCUGGCGGCAUGCCUAACACAUGCAAGUCGAACGAGACCUUCGGGUAUAGUGGCGCACGGGUGCGUCCCGCGUGGGAACCUGCCCUUAGGUUCGGAAUAACUCCCCGAAAGGGGUGCUAAUACCGGAUAAUGUCUUCGGGCCAAAGAUUUAGCGCCUUUGGAUGGGCCCGCGUUGGAUUAGCUAGUUGGUAGGGUAAAAGCCUACCAAGGCGACGAGCCAUAGCUGGUCUGAGAGGAUGAUCAGCCACACUGGGACUGAGACACGGCCCAGACUCCUGGGGGGGGCAGCAGUGGGGAAUAUUGGACAAUGGGCGAAAGCCUGAUCCAGCAAGGCCGGGUGGGUGAUGAAGGCGUUAGGGUUGUAAAGCUCUUUUACCCGGGAUAAUAAUGACAGUACCGGGAGAAUAAGCUCCGGCUACCUCCGU
RNAcentral lists this ribosomal RNA (432 nucleotides) under uncultured bacterium. RNAcentral describes it as "partial 16S ribosomal RNA". It matches the Rfam family "Bacterial small subunit ribosomal RNA", at positions 29 to 506 of the family's 1533-position model. The record is from RNAcentral.